This 1116-nucleotide long non-coding RNA is filed under the name Capsicum annuum. RNAcentral describes it as "long non-coding RNA (CANN_LNC010710)". Lineage: Eukaryota; Viridiplantae; Streptophyta; Magnoliopsida; Solanales; Solanaceae. The record is from RNAcentral.
GAAACUACAAUUUUCAUCAACAAAACAAAUCAAAAGAGUAAAAUUAAACCAACUGACCAGGUAGCAAAAGUUUGAGUCCUAACCGAAUUGACUUGAUUGCUAAAACAUUUUUCGGUAACGGUCUUGUAAAACUCUAAGGGUUUUAGGCCUUUAUGAGCAGAAAUCGGGGUCCAAAAUAGCAUAGAAUUAAGGUUGAUAGACAUGAUUAACCAAAGGAACAAUAAGUAGCAUGAUGAACUAAAAGUGAGAUUUCCACGGCAAACAGUGAAAAUAAGAUGAACAUUGACCAAACAACAACUGUAACCAUCAUAAUCAAAUAUCCUACGGCAACCUUCUACAGCAAACAAUUCUCACACGAUUACGACCAAGCGAUUAUGACACUAUUAACAUGAAAACAGUGAAAUCAUUCAAAAGCAGUCGAAUUGAAAACCUCAACACAAUUAUCGAUUCAACGGAAUAACAACCAGUAACAAGUUAAUCCUACGGCUUUCAUAGCCAUAUCCAGCUACUCCCCCAGCAAACAAUCUUACAAUUACGACAUUACAAAGAAGGAGACGAAGAAAAAGAAAACCAUAACAGAAGUUAAAACGGAAAAAACGUUUACCUCUUUCUGAGCAGCAAAAUGGGGCAACGAGCUAACACCGAACUCUAUCACCACCGGAGAAUUCUUCCACGACUCCGAAAGCUCCGAGCAGCCCCAACCUUCCUUGGGAAGAAGAAAAUUUAUACUCAAACAAAAAUAUACUGGUUUUUUUCUCAAAAUGGCUUUUUUCACCUUUCGAGACUUGUCAAUUUAGCUCAAGAAUCAGCUACAUAUAGCGAACAAUGUGGGGAAUUAAUUGGAAAUCUUUUAAGGGAGAAUUUCAAAAUUGAGGCUGAAGAAAGGAAUUUCCAGCUCAUAAUUUUGUACGAAAAUUGACUUCUUUUUUUUUUCGGAGAAAUUUGAACAGAUGAACUAAUAGAAGUUGGGGUAAAGGGGGAAUUUUCGCAAUAGCCAAUGAAAUUUGUACAAAUUUGUACAAAUCAAACCGCUUGGGAGGACACCUCGACCUUUUUCUAGAAAAUUUGGCUCUUUCUUAGUAUACCAUCGCGUGGUGUCACGUGAGGAGAGAAACC